ACUGUGGAGUGUUAUACAAACACAAGUAGAGUGAUAUUUCUCAAAAGUGGAUACAGUAAAGCAGUAA
This 67-nucleotide non-coding RNA is filed under the name unclassified sequences. RNAcentral describes it as "RAGATH-18 RNA". It matches the Rfam family "RAGATH-18 RNA". From Rfam's summary of the family: Actinobacteria, Firmicutes, Fusobacteria, Thermotogae (1 example). Nearby to self-cleaving ribozyme genes The record is from Rfam by way of RNAcentral.